CUUGUAGGCGGUUUGUCGCGUCUGCUGUGAAAAUCCGGGGCUUAACUCUGGACGUGCAGUGGGUACGGGCAGGCUAGAGUGUGGUAGGGGAGACUGGAAUUCCUGGUGUAGCGGUGAAAUGCGCAGAUAUCAGGAGGAACACCGAUGGCGAAGGCAGGUCUCUGGGCCAUUACUGACGCUGAGAAGCGAAAGCAUGGGUAGCGAACA
RNAcentral lists this ribosomal RNA (207 nucleotides) under uncultured Micrococcineae bacterium. RNAcentral describes it as "partial 16S ribosomal RNA". It matches the Rfam family "Bacterial small subunit ribosomal RNA", at positions 568 to 774 of the family's 1533-position model. The record is from RNAcentral. Lineage: Bacteria; Bacillati; Actinomycetota; Actinomycetes; Micrococcales.